UUUCCGCAGGUGAACCUGCGGAAGGAUCAUUACUGAGUGAGGGCCCCUCGGGGUCCAACCUCCCACCCGUGUUUAACGAACCUUGUUGCUUCGGCGGUCCCGCCUCACGGCCGCCGGGAGGCAUCUGCCCCCGGGCCCGCGCCCGCCGAAGCCACCUGUGAACGCUGUCUGAAGUAUGCAGUCUGAGACAAUUAUUAAAUUAAUUAAAACUUUCAACAACGGAUCUCUUGGUUCCG
This 236-nucleotide unclassified non-coding RNA is filed under the name plant metagenome. Its description in RNAcentral is "partial contains small subunit ribosomal RNA, internal transcribed spacer 1, and 5.8S ribosomal RNA". The record is from RNAcentral.